RNAcentral lists this ribosomal RNA (480 nucleotides) under uncultured bacterium. Its description in RNAcentral is "bacterial SSU rRNA". It matches the Rfam family "Bacterial small subunit ribosomal RNA", at positions 30 to 505 of the family's 1533-position model. The record is from RNAcentral.
AUUGAACGCUGGCGGCAUGCCUUACACAUGCAAGUCGAACGGCAGCACGGGGCAACCUGGUGGCGAGUGGCGAACGGGUGAGUAAUGUAUCGGAACGUACCUUUCAGUGGGGGAUAACGUAGCGAAAGUUACGCUAAUACCGCAUAUUCUGUGAGCAGGAAAGCAGGGGAUCGCAAGACCUUGCGCUGAUUGAGCGGCCGAUAUCAGAUUAGCUAGUUGGUGAGGUAAAGGCUCACCAAGGCGACGAUCUGUAGCGGGUCUGAGAGGAUGAUCCGCCACACUGGAACUGAGACACGGUCCAGACACCUACGGGUGGCAGCAGUAGGGAAUAUUGCGCAAUGGGCGAAAGCCUGACGCAGCGAUGCCGCGUGAGUGACGAAGGUCUUAGGAUUGUAAAGCUCUUUUCUGAGGGAAGAAUAGGUCUGGUAGGAAAUGACUGGAUUCUGACGGUACCUCAGGAAUAAGGAACGGCUAACUCCG